RNAcentral lists this unclassified non-coding RNA (1762 nucleotides) under Hevea brasiliensis (rubber tree). The record is from RNAcentral. Lineage: Eukaryota; Viridiplantae; Streptophyta; Magnoliopsida; Malpighiales; Euphorbiaceae.
UGCUUUUUGGAAAAAAAAAAAAAAAAAAAUCUAUUGAUUGUCAAUUGAGAGUUCCUUUGACAGAUUGCAUUUCCCACCUUUGUGAUGGUGGGCAUAGUUUAUCAACUACGACUGAAUGAUAUGCCUUUUGCUCAAAUAUGAACUGCAGAAACAGCUGUUGUGAUUUCCUUGGUUCUUGGAUCGCCGCUUUCUAACAAAACACCAUUAGGGUCUUCUCUAACCAACAGGGCCAGAACAUUGAGUGAACUCCAAGCUUUUGCCACAUUGGUACCAGAGUCCCCUAAGGUAACAGCGAAGACUGCAUCAAACCCACCUGCUCCAGGAACUCCAGCCAACAAGACUCCAUCCAUAUUCAUAGUAGUAUCCAAAAGUCGAGUCUGUGAUUCAGGCUCUAUCGGAACACCUGCAGCCUCACCCAUCUGGCGCAUGUAAUUUCUGAUCUGAAGCAUGGCAUUUCUUGAUCCUAAUAAUGCUUUAACAACUGCUUCUCGGCUGGGUUCAGUUGCCUGCUCAAUCCACUUCUCUGAGUUUUUUGUGCUGCAACUGUCUAUCACACAUUUAUACGCGUCCCAAUGUUCUUCUGCGAGCUUGCUUAAAAUAUUGAAUUGCGUUUCAAGUGCUGAAUUUGCCUCUGACAACUUUCUCCAUGUUUCUUGGGAUUUCUGAGUAUCAGACUUCUGCCAUUUCUUUAGAGCACCUACCAUUGAUGGCGUGGAAGAUCCUCCAGUUCCUGGCUCACCUAGUAGCAGGCUCAUCAAUGGUGGCAAGGAAAACAUAGUCCUCUCAUGGUCCCAUUUUCCUUUUAGGAUGUUAGAAAUGACUUCCUGUAAUGGAAUUCCUUUCCCAGCAUCCUGAGCAGAGGAAAGCACUUCUGGAGAGAAGCGCACGUAUCGAUGACUGCCAUAAACUGCAGAACUAACAUCAAAUCCACUGCCGACUUUCCCUUGUGCAAUACAAUGGGCAGUUUGGGCUAUUAUAUGUACCAAAUCAAGAUCAGAAAAUUUCUUCUCUUUACAAGAGGAUGAAAGAUCAACCAAUCCAAGGUGAUGAAGUAAAGCAGCAACUACAGCAGUGGUCAUUGCUGCUGAUGAACCCAAUCCAGUUUUAGCUACCUCAGGCUUGCAGUUUUGUCCAUUUGCUUCCUCUACAUUGAAGGUGAUUGAGGAAAAAGAAGGAAGUGCAGCCAAUGAUUCUGGUGUCAAAGGGAGUCCACAUGCUUCAAUCUCAUUUCGGUAUGAAUAGAAGUCAUUGGUACCUAAUAUUGUAAUAUCAAGACCUUGCAAGAGUAGCUUGUUUAAGACAUUCUUCUUAUCUUUGUCAAGUGUUGCAUGUGCAGCUGCUACAGCAAAUUGCACUGCUUGUUCCACAAAUGGGUUCCUUGAUGCACUUGAAGAGACACACUGAAGAGCUAAAUUUUUCAGUGACAAUUUGUACAAGCUUUCCCUUGCUAGUUGGGGAGAUGUUAAUUUCACAUCAGUCCAUGCCCAUGCCCAACUAUCAGGUUUGAUUUCAUCGUAAAUAGGCUUCACAAUGGCAUAGAAUCGAGCAUUUGUGCUGAGUACAAUCCCUGCAUUGGGUCUUUCCAAUAUGAGGUAACCCCCAGUCAUCAACACCUUACCCGGAGCAGAAGCAACUACAGCCAUUGCGUCUUUUCUCUCUCUCCGCCUCUGUUAAUUUCUGAAAUAGGCAAGUAAUGGAAGCAGAUGCGGAGAGUGAAGAUCCAGCGAAGAGGACGAAGAUCAGCUCGCACUUGUGUCUCUUU